GAUGAACGCUGGCGGCGUGCCUAAUACAUGCAAGUCGAGCGAACAGACGAGGAGCUUGCUCCUCUGACGUUAGCGGCGGACGGGUGAGUAACACGUGGAUAACCUACCUAUAAGACUGGGAUAACUUCGGGAAACCGGAGCUAAUACCGGAUAACAUGUUGAACCGCAUGGUUCAACAGUGAAAGACGGUUUUGCUGUCACUUAUAGAUGGAUCCGCGUCGCAUUAGCUAGUAGGUAAGGUAACGGCUUACCAAGGCAACGAUGCGUAGCCGACCUGAGAGGGUGAUCGGCCACACUGGAACUGAGACACGGUCCAGACUCCUACGGGAGGCAGCAGUAGGGAAUCUUCCGCAAUGGGCGAAAGCCUGACGGAGCAACGCCGCGUGAGUGAAGAAGGUCUUCGGAUCGUAAAACUCUGUUAUUAGGGAAGAACAAAUGUGUAAGUAACUAUGCACGUCUUGACGGUACCUAAUCAGAAAGCCACGGCUAACUACGUG
RNAcentral lists this ribosomal RNA (497 nucleotides) under uncultured bacterium. Its description in RNAcentral is "partial 16S ribosomal RNA". It matches the Rfam family "Bacterial small subunit ribosomal RNA", at positions 28 to 507 of the family's 1533-position model. The record is from RNAcentral.